GCACAGGCUCCUAAACCCAACCUCGUAUCGCCUCCUGCGAGUAGCUUCCAGGUGUCCACAGGGAGCCCGGGGUCAUGCUGGCAUCAUUCAUUCUCCACGCAUCAGAUGAUCCUGUGGCCCCUCAGUGCCAGGCCCCACUGGCCCUCUGCGCACAUCAGUGACUCUGAUGUUCUCCCCCACCGCAUGCUGCCAAUCUGAUGGUGGAGACAGAACAGCAGUCCCGGAUGGUCUCUGUGUUGUCACCUGGAAAAUGGAACUUUCCACCUCCUCGGGAUGUUAUGAUGAUAGAUGUAACAAGCUCAGCACAGUGCCUGUACAGGUGGAGGCAAUGCCCAGAGCUGUGGCAGCCACCUUGCAGCCGUGAAGCACCAGUGGGAAUGACAGUCAAGAGAACCACGGAGAUGCCAGCCCCUGGACCCACAGCAGCAGCACCUGCUUCCAGACUCAGAGUGUGAGAAAAAAAUAAACUCCUAUUUGUUUAUGGCAAGGACAGGGGCUGGGUCCCAGGCCCCCAGCCUCAUGCCAUCGUCUGCAAAACAGCCAGGGCCGCGUGCUUCUGUCUGAAGGGCUGAGCCUUGAGGUGGCCUGAGCCGGAGGCCCCUCAGCUCCCUGGGGACCAGAAAGUCCGCUGACAGCACCUCUGAG
RNAcentral lists this long non-coding RNA (645 nucleotides) under Homo sapiens (human). Its description in RNAcentral is "PREDICTED lncRNA (TCONS_00039780)". Lineage: Eukaryota; Metazoa; Chordata; Mammalia; Primates; Hominidae. The record is from RNAcentral.